RNAcentral lists this transfer RNA (90 nucleotides) under Rhodospirillaceae bacterium. Its description in RNAcentral is "tRNA-Ser". It matches the Rfam family "tRNA". From Rfam's summary of the family: Transfer RNA (tRNA) molecules are approximately 80 nucleotides in length. Their secondary structure includes four short double-helical elements and three loops (D, anti-codon, and T loops). The record is from RNAcentral. RNAcentral also lists the same sequence under 5 other names. Lineage: Bacteria; Pseudomonadati; Pseudomonadota; Alphaproteobacteria; Rhodospirillales; Rhodospirillaceae.
GGAGGGGUGGCCGAGUGGCUGAAGGCGCACGCUUGGAAAGCGUGUAUAGGGGCAACUCUAUCGGGGGUUCGAAUCCCCCUCCCUCCGCCA